This 832-nucleotide ribosomal RNA is filed under the name uncultured Pseudomonadota bacterium. RNAcentral describes it as "bacterial SSU rRNA". It matches the Rfam family "Bacterial small subunit ribosomal RNA", at positions 70 to 902 of the family's 1533-position model. The record is from RNAcentral. Lineage: Bacteria; Pseudomonadati; Pseudomonadota.
AAAGUCGGGGCAACCUGGCGAGUACAGUGGCAGACGGGUGAGUAACACGUGAACAAUCUACCCUCGAGUGGGGAAUAACGCCGCGAAAGCGGCGCUAAUACCGCAUAACGUUCCGAGAUCGCAUGGUCAUGGAACCAAAGGCGAAAGUCGCUCGAGGAGGAGUUCGCGCCUGAUUAGCUAGUUGGUGAGGUAACGGCCCACCAAGGCAACGAUCAGUAGCCGGCCUGAGAGGGCGUACGGCCACACUGGAACUGAGACACGGUCCAGACUCCUACGGGAGGCAGCAGUGGGGAAUUUUGCGCAAUGGGCGAAAGCCUGACGCAGCAACGCCGCGUGGAGGAUGAAGGCCUUCGGGUCGUAAACUCCUGUCAGGGGGGAAGAAAUCCGCGCAAGCGGGCUGACUGUACCCCCGGAGGAAGCCACGGCUAACUCCGUGCCAGCAGCCGCGGUAAUACGGAGGUGGCAAGCGUUGUUCGGAAUUACUGGGCGUAAAGGGCGCGUAGGCGGCUAGGCAAGUCAGGUGUGAAAGCCCCGCGCUUAACUCGGGAACUGCAUCUGAAACUGCCUUGCUUGAGUCCUGGAGGGGGUAGUGGAAUUCCCAGUGUAGCGGUGAAAUGCGUAGAUAUUGGGAGGAACACCGGUGGCGAAGGCGGCUACCUGGACAGUGACUGACGCUGAUGCGCGAAAGCUAGGGGAGCGAACGGGAUUAGAUACCCCGGUAGUCCUAGCCGUAAACGAUGGGCACUUGGUGUCGGGGGUAUUGAGCCCCCCGGUGCCGGAGUUAACACGUUAAGUGCCCCGCCUGGGGAGUACGGUCGCAAGACUGAAACUC